AUUGAACGCUGGCGGCAGGCCUAACACAUGCAAGUCGAGCGGAUGCAGGGAGCUUGCUUCUGGAUUCAGCGGCGGACGGGCGAGUAAUGCCUAGGAAUCUGCCUGGUAGUGGGGGAUAACGUCCGGAAACGGGCGCUAAUACCGCAUUCGUGCUGAGGGAGAACGUGGGGGAUCUUCGGACCUCACGCCAUCAGAUGAGUCUAGGUCGGAUUAGCUAGUUGGUGGGGUAAAGGCCUACCAAGGCGACGAUCCGUAACUGGUCUGAGAGGAUGAUCAGUCACACUGGAACUGAGACACGGUCCAGACUCCUACGGGAGGCAGCAGUGGGGAAUAUUGGACAAUGGGCGAAAGCCUGAUCCAGCCAUGCCGCGUGUGUGAAGAAGGUCUUCGGAUUGUAAAGCACUUUAAGUUGGGAGGAAGAGCAGUAAGUUAAUACCUUGCUGUUUUGACGUUACCAACAGAAUAAGCACCGGCUAACUUCGUG
RNAcentral lists this ribosomal RNA (484 nucleotides) under uncultured bacterium. RNAcentral describes it as "partial 16S ribosomal RNA". It matches the Rfam family "Bacterial small subunit ribosomal RNA", at positions 30 to 507 of the family's 1533-position model. The record is from RNAcentral.